UACAGAGGGGGCAAGCGUUGUUCGGAAUUACUGGGCGUAAAGGGCGCGUAGGCGGCCUUCUAAGUCGAACGUGAAAUCCCCGGGCUCAACCCGGGAACUGCGUCCGAUACUGGAGGGCUUGAAUCCGGGAGAGGGAUGUGGAAUUCCAGGUGUAGCGGUGAAAUGCGUAGAUAUCUGGAGGAACACCGGUGGCGAAGGCGACAUCCUGGACCGGUAUUGACGCUGAGGAGCGAAAGCUAGGGGAGCAAACGGG
This 253-nucleotide ribosomal RNA is filed under the name uncultured bacterium. RNAcentral describes it as "partial 16S ribosomal RNA". It matches the Rfam family "Bacterial small subunit ribosomal RNA", at positions 524 to 776 of the family's 1533-position model. The record is from RNAcentral.